RNAcentral lists this ribosomal RNA (253 nucleotides) under uncultured bacterium. RNAcentral describes it as "partial 16S ribosomal RNA". It matches the Rfam family "Bacterial small subunit ribosomal RNA", at positions 524 to 776 of the family's 1533-position model. The record is from RNAcentral.
UACGGAGGGGGCUAGCGUUGUUCGGAAUUACUGGGCGUAAAGCGUGCGCAGGCGGUUAUGCAAGACAGAUGUGAAAUCCCCGGGCUUAACCUGGGAACCGCAUUUGUGACUGCAUAGCUGGAGUACGGCAGAGGGGGAUGGAAUUCCGCGUGUAGCAGUGAAAUGCGUAGAUAUGCGGAGGAACACCGAUGGCGAAGGCAGUCCCCUGGGCCUGUACUGACGCUCAUGCACGAAAGCGUGGGGAGCAAACAGG